Mytilus californianus (California mussel) is the source of this 1990-nucleotide long non-coding RNA. RefSeq lists it as uncharacterized. The transcript has 2 exons. NCBI's taxonomy places the organism in Eukaryota, Metazoa, Mollusca, Bivalvia, Mytilida, Mytilidae. The record is from RefSeq and is a predicted model, not a curated record.
GGUUUUUAAAGGCAGUGCUUUAAUGCCUUUCUAGUUGCCGGGUUAAUCCUUCCUUCCGCGAUAUCCAACUUAUCUACGUGGGGGGUCAUUAGGCUCCAAGUAGAUCCGGAAAUGUUGAAUUCUCUCCUCUUCUUAUUGUGAUAUAAAAUGUUUUUUGUUUCAUUUCAUUUACAUUGGGAAAUAGAGAAACGAUCAUUGUGUUUUGUUAGUUUUAAAAACUUUUGAUAUAUUUGUAUUUUGCAUUAUAAGCAGUCAACCGAUUGACAAACUAGAAUUAUUUGAAUUCCGUGUGGAAAGAGCUCGGGUUAAUUUCGAGUGUUAUCUGCAAUCUAUAUGUUUAUAAAUCAUUUCAGUCGUUGAUAUAAUAAUUAAGAGUCGACUGAACAUUAAUUAUAUUAUACAAUUUAAAGCGCAUUUCUGUUUAUGCACGUGAACCCGUCUAACGUUAUUGUUAUUUCGCAGUUAUAUAAAGUAGCAAAUUAUCGUUCCUGAAUAGGUGGCGCCGUGGUAGCCGAUCCUGUUCCUCAAUUUCCGGUUUCUGCACUGUGCAACUAUUUCAGUUACAUUUUAAAUUAACGAUGCCAAGUACUUGUUGUUGUGUACCUGGAUGUCAUUUAAGAGGAGGACAUGCAUUUCCAAAUGACUUAAAAAGAAGGAAAAGUUGGAUCAACGCCAUGGCCCAAACGCAGCUUAGACGAGAACACGAUUUCAUCGUGGAGUCCAUCUCAAUCAGCUGUUGUUUGCAAGGCACAUUUUACUGAAAAAGACUACGUGCAGGAAACUAUUCAUGGUCGCAAACCCACCAUACAGAGACUUUAAAGUCUACUGCCAUUCCCAGCCUAUUUUCCUGGACCAAGCAAGAGACUGAAUCGUCCGCAAAAAGAAAAAUCAGGGCAGUUUCCUGUGAAAACAAAAAAACUAAACUUGAUGAAUAUUGUAGUAGAAAUCUAGAGGAAAGUUUUGAUUGUAAAGUUGGUUUUCCUGAAGAAGUCAUUCAUACUGCAGAAAGGAUUUAUGACUGUCCACCACCAACUGCUGAGCUAAUGUUGAGCUUCAAAGAUGGAAUUACGCAAACACCAUCAAUGUCUAUGUUUUCAGCAGAGAAUUUUGAAAUGAAGACACGUGACACAGCCAUGCAUUUUUAUACCAGUUUAGAGUUGUAUACUAAAUUUUUAUUUGUUUUGACCACACUUGGUCCAACAGCACAUUGUUUGGGAUACAUAUAUUUUCAAAUUGAUAGGGUGUCAGUUGAAAAUCAGUUUUUUUAUGACUUUGAUGAAAUUGAGGCAUUAUACAACCAACUUUGAACUUUCUAGAUUCUAGAUUGAAUCUAGUGUUAAGAAUAUUGUGUAUACAUGGAUUGUUUUUAUGCCUAAACAGUGGUGUGAGGCUAACACUUGGCCAUCUAGUGGUUUAGUCAGGCAUUUUUCGCCAUCCAACUUCAAAUUAAAGUUUCCUACGACUUGGAUUAUUAUUGACAGCACAGAAUAUCCCGUGAUAAAACUAAAGCUCCUAGAGCUCAGGCAACCUUUUCAUCAUAUAAAAACAGAAACACUGAAAAUACUUGUAUGUUCGACGCCUGGUGGUUUAGUCAACUAUGUCUCUAAUGCAUAUGUUGGUUCUACCAGUGACUAUGAAAUAGUUGAAAGAUGUAGAAUACAAAAUGUAGUUCAAUUAUGUGAUCCAGCCAUCCAGGUGACAGUGUGAUGGCAGACAAAGGUUUAAAUGUGCAAGAUUUGUUUGCUAACUUUUUUCAAAAAAAGAAACAGAAUUAAUUCCAAAACUCUUAUACAGGAUAGAAAAGUCUCCAAUUAACAUGUACACAUAGAGCGAAUUAUUGGACUUGGCAAAACAUACAAAAUUCUAACAAAUCCUAUGAAUGGAACUGAAACAAAACUUUCAUCUGAAAUAACAUUUAGUUGUUUUAUGUUGUGUAAUUUUAGAACUUGUAUUGUGCCAAAGGAUGCAGAAAUAAAAGUGACGCAAUGAA